This 350-nucleotide long non-coding RNA is filed under the name Homo sapiens (human). RNAcentral's name for it is "non-protein coding lnc-GRB2-2:1". Lineage: Eukaryota; Metazoa; Chordata; Mammalia; Primates; Hominidae. The record is from RNAcentral.
AUAGCCUUGCUGCUAGAGGCUCAGGCCACUGUUGACAUCAAGGACAGCAAUGGCAUGCGCCCGCUGCACUACGCAGCCUGGCAGGGCCGGCUGGAGCCUGUGAGGCUGCUGCUGCGCGCCUCUGCGGCUGUCAAUGCCGCCUCGCUGGACGGACAGAUCCCCCUGCACCUGGCUGCACAGUAUGGACAUUAUGAGGUGUCAGAAAUGCUCCUCCAGCAUCAGUCCAACCCAUGCCUGGUCAACAAGGCCAAGAAGACGCCCCUGGACCUGGCCUGUGAAUUUGGCCGACUCAAGGUGAGGCCUGCAGCCUUGGGGUGCUGGGUCCUGGACAUCUACAGGGUCUCAGGAGG